This is an RNA transcript of Pangasianodon hypophthalmus (striped catfish), 2408 nucleotides long. It is a transcript of the gene named homeobox protein NOBOX, with no coding region annotated. The record is from RefSeq and is a predicted model, not a curated record. The transcript is spliced from 10 exons. Lineage: Eukaryota; Metazoa; Chordata; Actinopteri; Siluriformes; Pangasiidae.
CGAAGCUUUCUCAGGUGUUUCAGGUUAAUUGAAAUUAACUCGCACUAAUUAUCUGAUUUAGAUUGAACGUUGUCGUUUACCUGGCACUUUUAGCUCUAAGCUAAUUCAGACAGGUAGUUUGAGUAAGAGGCCUUUUGCGAAACAAGAUGGCCGAGGACUCUCUGUUUGCUAGUGAUUACGGAAGCCUGUGUCCUUUAUGUGAGGAGGAAGGCGAGAGACCUUGUCUGGCACUCGGAGUCCAUGAACAACAAAGAAAUGUGGAUGAAGAAGCAGAGCUAAAAAGAGACCAUAAAAUUAGUUCUAUACAUGAAGAGAAAAAAGAAGAGGGAAGUGAAAAGGCAGAAACAGUGACAAAAGGAUUUGUUGAGACGGAUGAUGAAUAUAAUCAUGAAGAAGGUGCAGAGAUUGAAAUGGGUGAAAAAGUAGAAAUAACAGAGGAUAAUAAAAGCAAGCAUGAUGAUGGAAAAGGGAAUGAUGUGAGUGGUGCUCUGGUCCCUCCACCACAGGAGGAGAAGUGUGUCCUACGGCUGGACUCCGGCGGCCCUGUAAAUCUGGUGAUGGUGUGUGAGGAGUCCGUUGAGAGCGGUAUAAACGAAGAGCUCCUGCUGUGUCCUGCCAAGUCUCUAACCCUUUCGCAGACCCCCUUGAUAUCUUCUCCUCCCUCCCAGAAUCCUCUGGCUCUCACACUCACACCUAGCAAUCCCUCUGUGCUUCAGCUACAAACGCAGCCAGUGGUUCAGACCCAGGGCUCAGUGCCCCAGGCUCCCUGUUUGAGCAAGCGUGUGUAUGGGAGCAGCCCCUCUGUGGAGCCCAAAACAAUCACCCAUCCUGGGCAGCUGGAGGUAACACUGCAGCAGGUGUACACCACACGCCGCUACACCCGCUUCACCAGCAGGACUGCGCCAUUAAAAUCAGUACAUCCAGAGACCAGCUCCCAACCCUUACCGUGUGUCAGCAACACGUCUCUACUGGCACCAGCACCCAAAAAGAAAACACGGACCUCCUACAGCACUGAUCAGUUGGAGGAGCUAGAGAGGAUGUUUCAAGAUGAUCACUACCCAGAUGCGGACAAGCGGAAAGAGAUUGCAAUAUCAGUUGGCGUCACACCUCAGAGGGUCAUGGUAUGGUUUCAGAAUCGUCGUGCCAAAUGGCGUAAAACCUCCAAAACAACAGCAAAAAAGCCUCCUGUAACUCGGACCCAGGCACCUUCCCAAGCCCCAGUCCCCAGGCCUCCUGUUUUCACAGGUCCUACGAUUGCACCCCUACCCCCCCAAACUGGAAACACACUCCCUCCUUACAGUACACUUCUCACUGGCGGAACAAGCCCACCAGACUGUGUGGAUGUGGCAACUACUGUGUCACAGGGGAGCACAGGGGACUAUAAGCAUCCCCUCAUGCAGAGUCCCCCACCUUUGCGCCGUGCCUCCUUACCCUUCUUUGCUGCAUACAACCCCCCUACACACACACUGUCUGUACUGCUGGACACACCGGAGCACAGUGAGCCUCAGUCCUUCAGCAUGCACACUGACACCGGGUUUAACUAUGAUUCUGUGGGCUCUUCAGCUAAAUAUGAGGCUGUUGCCUCUGGUCCUGGAAACACUCAGUCGUAUCAGCUCAUGACAUAUCCCCAACAGUCCAGCACAUUACUGCCUCAGCAACAUACCACUCUCCUUCCCCAACAAAGUAAUAACAUACUCCCACAGCAGCCGAACACACUAUUGCCACAAUACUCAAGAGUAUCAUACCUCACCCCAUCUCCGUAUCUGACCCCUAACUCGAGUGAGGGCACUGCCACUUCCUGUGUGCCCCUGAACCCAGGAACUGGGAGCAGCCUGUUGCCCUGUACCAACGGAGGACAUGCCUACUUCCAAUGCCAAAACGGUAGCCAGAUACUACUACAGCCUGGGCUACAGGCACUGCAGGCAUACCCGUGGACUGGUGACAUGUACAGUCAUUCGGUUCAGGUUCCACAUGCAGUCCUAAAGCCCCAGUUCCCAUCCCAUGGUCAUGAGAGCCACUAUCCUCCGCUGGUCCCUCCCCAGUCUUACAUCACACCUCAGGGGCCAUCAUGCCCUAGCCUGGCAAAACCUGCCACCCCUGACCCUUUGCUGGCCAGUGUCAAAACAGAGCUGGAGGAAACAGCACACAGUCAGCCAGCCAAAGAUAGCGAGGCAGAGACCAUUUUCCAUUGUGACUUCUCACCCAUUCACUUCUGACAGUAACCACUUUAUACUGGUCAUGGAUGCAGUGGAUUCAGAGCCUGUCCUGGGAACACUGUGUGUGAGGACCAUCAGCACUAACACAGGAAUUUGAGUCUGCAGUCUGUUUGUGUGUUUCUGUAUUUGUCUGUGUUUUCUUCUUUCAUUGUUGACUGCAGGCUUUAUUAAAGUGCCUUUAAUCUCUUAUUA